Transfer RNA from Fomitiporia mediterranea MF3/22, 107 nucleotides. It matches the Rfam family "tRNA". Rfam says of the family: Transfer RNA (tRNA) molecules are approximately 80 nucleotides in length. Their secondary structure includes four short double-helical elements and three loops (D, anti-codon, and T loops). Further hydrogen bonds mediate the characteristic L-shaped molecular structure. tRNAs have two regions of fundamental functional importance: the anti-codon, which is responsible for specific mRNA codon recognition, and the 3' end, to which the tRNAs corresponding amino acid is attached (by aminoacyl-tRNA synthetases). tRNAs cope with the degeneracy of the genetic code in two manners: having more than one tRNA (with a specific anti-codon) for a particular amino acid; and 'wobble' base-pairing, i.e. permitting non-standard base-pairing at the 3rd anti-codon position. The record is from Rfam. NCBI's taxonomy places the organism in Eukaryota, Fungi, Basidiomycota, Agaricomycetes, Hymenochaetales, Hymenochaetaceae.
GGCAAGAUGACCGAGUGGUCUAAGGUGUGUGACUCAAGCGAAAGCUUGCCCUAGCUUAGGGUUCUCAUCAGCGUCAGCUGGCGUGGGUUCGAAUCCCACUCUUGUCA